RNAcentral lists this transfer RNA (752 nucleotides) under uncultured cyanobacterium. RNAcentral's name for it is "partial 16S-23S ribosomal RNA intergenic spacer". The stretch from base 260 to 332 matches the Rfam family "tRNA". The record is from RNAcentral. Lineage: Bacteria; Bacillati; Cyanobacteriota.
CAGGGAGACAAAACUGAUUUAGAUGUCUGAGUAAAUCAUUCUCAGGCCUAGAUCCUGUCACCUUAGGUCGAUCGGUACCUCAAGUUGAAUUCAUAAACUAAGUGAGUAAUCUCUUAUUAAAUGCAAUGAACUUCAGUUCCUAAACUUGUCUAGGUCACACCCAACAUGGGUAUCCUGGGCCAUUAGCUCAGGUGGUUAGAGCGCACCCCUGAUAAGGGUGAGGUCCCUGGUUCAAGUCCAGGAUGGCCCAUUCGGUUUUGGGGGUAUAGCUCAGUUGGUAGAGCGCCUGCUUUGCAAGCAGGAUGUCAGCGGUUCGAGUCCGCUUACCCCCACUGAUCGACCUCCUGCUUCUCGUGAAUGGCAGGAUACUUAAUUUGUUUGAUUUGACUUAGACGUUGUUUUAUCUGAAAUGAACCUAGCUUCCUAUCAUUCCUUAUCCAGUCUUAAAUUCUGGUAAAGGUUGAUAAGACGCUGGGCUCACUACAAUUCGAAUGAUUUGUAGCGUGUUCAGUAGAACCUUGACAACUGCAUAGGUGAGUCUGGAAAAAAUAAAGCAUCUCAUGGAUGCAUUAUUCUUUUAAUCAGAAUUUAGUUUAUUUGCAACUGCAAUUAUGCUUUUCUGGAGAUAAUGAAUAGUGUUCAAAUUCUUGAGUUAAGAGCCGAGACUCUUUAGUUGUAUUUUGUGGGUUAAAACUCCAUGAAAUAUAUAAAAUUUAAGUGUUUAUUCGCUUAACUACUAAAGAGAAUUAUUU